UGUGGUUACAAUAGCAGAGAGGAUACACCUGUUCCCAUUCCGAACACAGAAGUUAAGCUCUCUAGCGCUGAUGGUACUUGGUGGGAAACUGCCUGGGA
This 98-nucleotide ribosomal RNA is filed under the name Clostridioides difficile. Lineage: Bacteria; Bacillati; Bacillota; Clostridia; Peptostreptococcales; Peptostreptococcaceae. The record is from RNAcentral.